This 549-nucleotide ribosomal RNA is filed under the name uncultured Glomus. RNAcentral describes it as "SSU rRNA". It matches the Rfam family "Eukaryotic small subunit ribosomal RNA", at positions 548 to 1098 of the family's 1831-position model. The record is from RNAcentral. Lineage: Eukaryota; Fungi; Glomeromycota; Glomeromycetes; Glomerales; Glomeraceae.
UUGGAGGGCAAGUCUGGUGCCAGCAGCCGCGGUAAUUCCAGCUCCAAUAGCGUAUAUUAAAGUUGUUGCAGUUAAAAAGCUCGUAGUUGAAUUUCGGGGUCAGUAGGUUGGUCGUGCCACCGGUACGUACUGGUCUCACUGAUUCCUCCUUCCUGAUGAGCUGUAAUGCCAUUAAUUUGGUGUUGCAGGGAAUCUGGACUGUUACUUUGAAAAAAUUAGAGUGUUUAAAGCAGGCUAACGCUUGAAUACAUUAGCAUGGAAUAAUGAAAUAGGACGUUCGAUCCUAUUUUGUUGGUUUCUAGGAUUGACGUAAUGAUUAAUAGGGAUAGUUGGGGGCAUUAGUAUUCAAUUGUCAGAGGUGAAAUUCUUGGAUUUAUUGAAGAUUAACUACUGCGAAAGCAUUUGCCAAGGAUGUUUUCAUUAAUCAAGAACGAAAGUUAGGGGAUCGAAGACGAUCAGAUACCGUCGUAGUCUUAACCAUAAACUAUGCCGACUAGGGAUCGGAUGAUGUUAAUUUUUUAAUGACUCAUUCGGCGCCUUACGGGAAAC